GACCUUCUGGUGUGCCUUGUUUAGGAAAGGUGUUAGACCAGCCUCUUACCUACCUAAUCAGCUAGUCCAGACAGUGGGGUGUUUCUCAAUUGGGCAACUCCCCAUGUCUUUCAACUGGGCUCUUCCAGUAUUUUUUCAACUGGGGGUGCUGUGGCGGGGUGCGCACCUAUUAGACAUCACCAAAUACAACUCAGGAUUGUCAACCAAUCAAUAGUCAGAAGGUUCAAAAACCAGGAAAGGCUCACCCAAAUUCACCAGAACUUUCUGAGGAGGUGGACAGGCACAAGAGGCCUCUGCUGGAACAAGGCUCAGGUUCUCAUAGUGUUCAAGGAAAGCUUCAGUGGGUAGAGAAGGACAAGAUUUUGGCCAGCAGCAUGUGGAGGACUGAAGCCUGGGAUACAAUCUCUCAGAUAACUGAGGGACUAUUCCAAAGAGAUAAGAGAGACUCCAGGAUAUACAGGAGUUUUUGGAAAACAAAACCAAACCAGCCAGGCUUCAAAAGUAUGUGAACCAUGAACUUCCAGAUGUUCAACCUGGAUUUAGAAAAGGCAGAGGAACCAGUGAUCAAAUUGCCAACAUCCACUGGAUCAUCGAAAAAGCAAGAGAGUUCCUGAAAAACAUCUACUUCUGCUUUAUUGACUAUGCCAAAGCCUUGGACUGUGUGGAUCACAAUAAAC
Molecule: long non-coding RNA, 677 nt
Organism: Bos taurus (domestic cattle)
Lineage: Eukaryota; Metazoa; Chordata; Mammalia; Artiodactyla; Bovidae
Source: Ensembl